Molecule: ribosomal RNA, 422 nt
Filed under: uncultured bacterium
Lineage: Bacteria
Description: partial 16S ribosomal RNA
Rfam family: Bacterial small subunit ribosomal RNA
Source: RNAcentral
AAUCUUCCACAAUGGACGAAAGUCUGAUGGAGCAAUGCCGCGUGAGUGAAGAAGGGUUUCGGCUCGUAAAACUCUGUUGUUAAAGAAGAACACCUUUGAGAGUAACUGUUCAAGGGUUGACGGUAUUUAACCAGAAAGCCACGGCUAAUUACGUGCCAGCAGCCGCGGUAAUACGUAGGUGGCAAGCGUUGUCCGGAUUUAUUGGGCGUAAAGCGAGCGCAGGCGGUUUUUUAAGUCUGAUGUGAAAGCCUUCGGCUUAACCGGAGAAGUGCAUCGGAAACUGGGAGACUUGAGUGCAGAAGAGGACAGUGGAACUCCAUGUGUAGCGGUGGAAUGCGUAGAUAUAUGGAAGAACACCAGUGGCGAAGGCGGCUGUCUAGUCUGUAACUGACGCUGAGGCUCGAAAGCAUGGGUAGCGAACA